Molecule: ribosomal RNA, 465 nt
Filed under: Vreelandella stevensii
Lineage: Bacteria; Pseudomonadati; Pseudomonadota; Gammaproteobacteria; Oceanospirillales; Halomonadaceae
Description: partial 16S ribosomal RNA
Rfam family: Bacterial small subunit ribosomal RNA
Source: RNAcentral
CCUACGGGGUGCAGCAGUGGGGAAUAUUGGACAAUGGGCGAAAGCCUGAUCCAGCCAUGCCGCGUGUGUGAAGAAGGCCUUCGGGUUGUAAAGCACUUUCAGUGGGGAAGAAAGCCUUGGGGCUAAUACCCUCGAGGAAGGACAUCACCAACAGAAGAAGCACCGGCUAACUCCGUGCCAGCAGCCGCGGUAAUACGGAGGGUGCGAGCGUUAAUCGGAAUUACUGGGCGUAAAGCGCGCGUAGGCGGUCUGAUAAGCCGGUUGUGAAAGCCCCGGGCUCAACCUGGGAACGGCAUCCGGAACUGUCAGGCUAGAGUGCAGGAGAGGAAAGUAGAAUUCCCGGUGUAGCGGUGAAAUGCGUAGAGAUCGGGAGGAAUACCAGUGGCGAAGGCGGCCUUCUGGACUGACACUGACGCUGAGGUGCGAAAGCGUGGGUAGCAAACAGGAUUAGAUACCCCUGUAGUC